CGUGUAGGCGGCUUGGUAAGUCAGGUGUGAAAGCCCUGGGCUCAACCCAGGAAGUGCAUUUGAAACUACCAGACUUGAGUACGGGAGAGGAGGGGGGAAUUCCCGGUGUAGAGGUGAAAUUCGUAGAUAUCGGGAGGAAUACCGGUGGCGAAGGCGCCCCUCUGGACCGAUACUGACGCUGAGACGCGAAAGCGUGGGGAGCAAACA
RNAcentral lists this ribosomal RNA (207 nucleotides) under uncultured bacterium. Its description in RNAcentral is "partial 16S ribosomal RNA". It matches the Rfam family "Bacterial small subunit ribosomal RNA", at positions 568 to 774 of the family's 1533-position model. The record is from RNAcentral.